GGUCAAGAGCGCCAGUGCAAAACCCCGGUUUGCUGGCCGGCAACCCUCGUGUUCGCGGUGGGGUGCCCCGGGUGAAGACCUGGUUCCGCCAGCGCAGAUGAACUGGCGGGGCAAGCGCGGG
This 121-nucleotide non-coding RNA is filed under the name Candidatus Nesterenkonia stercoripullorum. RNAcentral's name for it is "S-adenosyl methionine (SAM) riboswitch". It matches the Rfam family "SAM (S-adenosyl methionine) riboswitch aptamer". From Rfam's summary of the family: SAM-IV is a mRNA element that regulates gene expression via direct sensing of S-adenosylmethionine (SAM or AdoMet). SAM-IV riboswitches share conserved nucleotide positions with the previously described SAM-I riboswitches sequence analysis and molecular recognition experiments suggest that SAM-I and SAM-IV riboswitches share similar ligand binding sites, but have different scaffolds. The record is from RNAcentral. Lineage: Bacteria; Bacillati; Actinomycetota; Actinomycetes; Micrococcales; Micrococcaceae.